UGAGGAAUAUUGGUCAAUGGGCGCAGGCCUGAACCAGCCAAGUAGCGUGAAGGAUGACUGCCCUAUGGGUUGUAAACUUCUUUUAUAUGGGAAUAAAGUUUUCCACGUGUGGAAUUUUGUAUGUACCAUAUGAAUAAGGAUCGGCUAACUCCGUGCCAGCAGCCGCGGUAAUACGGAGGAUCCGAGCGUUAUCCGGGUUUAUUGGGUUUAAAGGGAGCGUAGGUGGACAGUUAAGUCAGUUGUGAAAGUUUGCGGCUCAACCGUAAAAUUGCAGUUGAAACUGGCAGUCUUGAGUACAGUAGGGGUGGGCGGAAUUCGUGGUGUAGCGGUGAAAUGCUUAGAUAUCACGAAGAACUCCGAUUGCGAAGGCAGCUCACUAGACUGCAACUGACACUGAUGCUCGAAAGUGUGGGUAUCAAACAGG
This 424-nucleotide ribosomal RNA is filed under the name uncultured bacterium. RNAcentral describes it as "bacterial SSU rRNA". It matches the Rfam family "Bacterial small subunit ribosomal RNA", at positions 355 to 776 of the family's 1533-position model. The record is from RNAcentral.